UGGGAGUUUAGCUCAGCUGGGAGAGCAUCUGCCUUACAAGCAGAGGGUCAGCGGUUCAAUCCCGUUAACUCCCAU
Molecule: transfer RNA, 75 nt
Filed under: Streptococcus gordonii
Lineage: Bacteria; Bacillati; Bacillota; Bacilli; Lactobacillales; Streptococcaceae
Also listed under: 1 other name
Description: tRNA-Val
Rfam family: tRNA
About the family: Transfer RNA (tRNA) molecules are approximately 80 nucleotides in length. Their secondary structure includes four short double-helical elements and three loops (D, anti-codon, and T loops). Further hydrogen bonds mediate the characteristic L-shaped molecular structure. tRNAs have two regions of fundamental functional importance: the anti-codon, which is responsible for specific mRNA codon recognition, and the 3' end, to which the tRNAs corresponding amino acid is attached (by aminoacyl-tRNA synthetases). tRNAs cope with the degeneracy of the genetic code in two manners: having more than one tRNA (with a specific anti-codon) for a particular amino acid; and 'wobble' base-pairing, i.e. permitting non-standard base-pairing at the 3rd anti-codon position.
Source: RNAcentral